Molecule: ribosomal RNA, 497 nt
Filed under: uncultured bacterium
Lineage: Bacteria
Description: partial 16S ribosomal RNA
Rfam family: Bacterial small subunit ribosomal RNA
Source: RNAcentral
GAUGAACGCUGGCGGCGUGCCUAAUACAUGCAAGUCGAGCGAACAGACGAGGAGCUUGCUCCUCUGACGUUAGCGGCGGACGGGUGAGUAACACGUGGAUGACCUACCUAUAAGACUGGGAUAACUUCGGGAAACCGGAGCUAAUACCGGAUAAUAUAUUGAACCGCAUGGUUCAAUAGUGAAAGACGGUUUUGCUGUCACUUAUAGAUGGAUCCGCGCCGCAUUAGCUAGUUGGUAAGGUAACGGCUUACCAAGGCAACGAUGCGUAGCCGACCUGAGAGGGUGAUCGGCCACACUGGAACUGAGACACGGUCCAGACUCCUACGGGAGGCAGCAGUAGGGAAUCUUCCGCAAAGGGCGAAAGCUUGACGGAGCAACGCCGCGUGAGUGAUGAAGGUCUUCGGAUCGUAAAACUCUGUUAUUAGGGAAGAACAAAUGUGUAAGUAACUAUGCACGUCUUGACGGUACCUAAUCAGAAAGCCACGGCUAACUACGUG